AUUGAACGCUGGCGGAAUGCUUUACACAUGCAAGUCGAACGGUAGAGGGGGCAACCCCUUGAGAGUGGCGAACGGGUGAGUAAUAUAUCGGAACGUGCCCAGUCGUGGGGAUAACGUAGCGAAAGCUACGCUAAUACCGCAUACGUCCUACGGGAGAAAGCAGGGGACCUUCGGGCCUUGCGCUAUCAGAUGAGCCUAGGUCGGAUUAGCUAGUAGGUGAGGUAAUGGCUCACCUAGGCGACGAUCCGUAACUGGUCUGAGAGGAUGAUCAGUCACACUGGAACUGAGACACGGUCCAGACUCCUACGGGAGGCAGCAGUGGGGAAUUUUGGACAAUGGGCGCAAGCCUGAUCCAGCAAUGCCGCGUGCAGGAUGAAGGCCUUCGGUU
RNAcentral lists this ribosomal RNA (388 nucleotides) under uncultured bacterium. RNAcentral's name for it is "bacterial SSU rRNA". It matches the Rfam family "Bacterial small subunit ribosomal RNA", at positions 30 to 423 of the family's 1533-position model. The record is from RNAcentral.